GGGAAACAUCACUGAGAGAGAGACUUGGAUCGGUCGCCUCUCAUUUGCACCCCCAACCAGGGAUGAGCCCGCAGCCAGGUUCCUGUCUGGUCCUCCGCUCCAUUCUAUUGACAUCAGGCUCCGGUGCCAGAAACCAUGGAAACGAGCAGCGUGAGGACCUCCCGACACUUCACCUGUGCUCACCGUCUUCUCACCUUGUCACGUCUCAAUUCUCUCUAUGUUUCGAUGUUUCCACAUACUGAACUCCUGGAACCCGUGGGUCACACCUGUGUACUUCAAUCAGACAACGCGGGGCUCCGCUCCUCGCAGCUCUGCCUGCGUCUGGAGGGCGCUGCGCACGGACAGGGCGCCCCCUGGGCCACAGGCCUGAGGCGUGUUCUGCAGGACGCCGCGUCGCCACGAACCCCGUGCCAAGAGGUUCGUCUUUCCGCCAUCUGUGCCUGCGGUCGGGGCCCUCGGGAGGGAGGUUCUGCACUCGAGGAAGGAGUUGGCAGCGCCUGAUGACACCCCCUCCCAGAAAGGGCAGGGGAAAUGAAGCCUUUUAUGAUGUUUCCUUCAUUUUAAACUGGAAAGUUGGCAGCGACGGGGCUUCAAAGUGAGUCGGAAAGUCUGUGUCGGGCUGGCAACGUGACCCUCCUGAGGAUGAAGGACGUUUACAAGUUUGUUUAUAGAAAAGGACAGACAGAGCUGGGCUGUGUUUACUUGGCCGGUGUUGGAAUUCCGACGAGACUGACAGAUGAAAUCUCAUUCCGGCGGUUCCCACCGAGGAAUGGCGCCUCCGGUGGAAGGUGUGAAGUUCAAUGACAGGAGUCAGCCUUUGGGGGAGCGAGGAGGGA
This is a long non-coding RNA of Artibeus jamaicensis (Jamaican fruit-eating bat), 836 nucleotides long. RefSeq lists it as uncharacterized. Lineage: Eukaryota; Metazoa; Chordata; Mammalia; Chiroptera; Phyllostomidae. The record is from RefSeq and is a predicted model, not a curated record. The transcript has 4 exons.